Molecule: ribosomal RNA, 247 nt
Filed under: uncultured bacterium
Lineage: Bacteria
Description: partial 16S ribosomal RNA
Rfam family: Bacterial small subunit ribosomal RNA
Source: RNAcentral
AUACGAGGGGUGCAAGCGUUGUCCGGAAUUAUUGGGCGUAAAGCGCGUGUAGGCGGUUUCUUAAGUCUGAUGUGAAAGCCCCGGGCUCAACCUGGGAAGUGCAUUGGAAACUGGGGGACUUGAGUACGGGAGAGGGUAGUGGAAUUCCUAGUGUAGGAGUGUAAUCCGUAGAUAUUAGGAGGAACACCGGUGGCGAAGGCGGCUACCUGGACCGAUACUGACGCUGAGACGCGAAAGCGUGGGGAGC